GAUGAACGCUGGCGGCGUGCCUAAUACAUGCAAGUCGAGCGAACGGACGAGAAGCUUGCUUCUCUGAUGUUAGCGGCGGACGGGUGAGUAACACGUGGAUAACCUACCUAUAAGACUGGGAUAACUUCGGGAAACCGGAGCUAAUACCGGAUGAUAUUUUGAACCGCAUGGUUCAAAAGUGAAAGACGGUCUUGCUGUCACUUAUAGAUGGAUCCGCGCUGCAUUAGCUAGUUGGUAAGGUAACGGCUUACCAAGGCAACGAUGCAUAGCCGACCUGAGAGGGUGAUCGGCCACACUGGAACUGAGACACGGUCCAGACUCCUACGGGAGGCAGCAGUAGGGAAUCUUCCGCAAUGGGCGAAAGCCUGACGGAGCAACGCCGCGUGAGUGAUGAAGGUCUUCGGAUCUUAAAACUCUGUUAUUAGGGAAGAACAUAUGUGUAAGUAACUGUGCACAUCUUGACGGUACCUUAUCAGAAAGCCACGGCUAACUACGUG
Molecule: ribosomal RNA, 497 nt
Filed under: uncultured bacterium
Lineage: Bacteria
Description: partial 16S ribosomal RNA
Rfam family: Bacterial small subunit ribosomal RNA
Source: RNAcentral